UGUUGAAGACCCUCGCAAGCGCCACCGUCGGGGCCUUCAACCAAGGGGAAAUACCGGCCCGGAGGAGGACCACGAAAGGACAUGCCAAGGUAUGAGUUUACUAUUUUGCUUGGAAAGCAUUGGCCGAAGCCCAUUUACGCUUGGCCAAGCCUUGGCCAAGCCCCUCCAUGCUUGGCCUAGCCUUGGCCAAGCUCUUCUCCACUCGGCCAAGCUCACCCAUGACCGUGCCCAACCAAGGCCGCGCCCGUGCCCACGCUCGAGCGCGCCCAAGACAUGCCCAAGCAUGCCUCAGCCCACUGCUGGGCGCGCCCAGGCCAUGGCUGGGCGAGCCCAGGCCACAGCCN
This 344-nucleotide long non-coding RNA is filed under the name Phoenix dactylifera (date palm). RNAcentral describes it as "long non-coding RNA (PDAC_LNC006379)". The record is from RNAcentral. Lineage: Eukaryota; Viridiplantae; Streptophyta; Magnoliopsida; Arecales; Arecaceae.